AGAAUUAUCGCCAGGCAGCCGUGAAUGCCAUUCGAGCAGGUCAGUAUAAUGAUUGCAUUUAUUCUUUAAGGCUUCAAAGCAGUACUAAAGCUGAAUUCAAAUAAAGAAAGAGCAAUAAUUAAAUAUCAAAAAAAGAAAAAAAGAAAAGGAAGGAGAAGAAAAGGACUAUGCAUUCUUGAAAUCUUACGAAAAGGUGUUUAGCUAUGAUGCCCCUCUAUGAUGUAUCCCCUGAUCUACACUUGCAUGCCAACUAGUGGAGCCACUAUCAUUGUGCCUCGUUUUGGUAGCAUGCAUUAUUAUAAUCAAGAAACCGGUUCAGCACACAUCACUGUGGACUCACUUCCUAUCCAUGGCCCACUUCUGGGAGAAAGAUGAAGUCCUCUGGGCUAACUAUGCUUUAGGUUAUUGUUGAGCAAGACAAUAAAUAAAAAUGGAGUAAGAUAACUUCAAAACUUCUAAUUUUUAAUGCCUGAAUGUUUUAAAAUUAGAGCUGUCCUUUGGUAAAACUUUAGUCUUCCUGCAAAAAAGGUUGCUGGAUUGCUGUAGUUAGGAUAUUGGUAACAUCGGCAUGGCCUUGUGCCAUAAUAGUGGAUCUCUUUGCGUGGUAGUUUUGAUUUGAAGCUAUAGGUCAGUGGACACGCUAUACAAUAAAGCAGACACGAAAAACAUAUUUCAAUUCUUGGGCUGACCUGAUAUCUAUUAAUUCUUCAAAUUAUCCAGCAAAACGAUAAGACUGUUUCUAACUGGAUUUCCCUGUACUCAUAUCAUCGACUAAAGCAUGUAUUGAUCAUGUGAUUUUCAG
This 802-nucleotide long non-coding RNA is filed under the name Jatropha curcas. RNAcentral describes it as "long non-coding RNA (JCUR_LNC001863)". The record is from RNAcentral. Lineage: Eukaryota; Viridiplantae; Streptophyta; Magnoliopsida; Malpighiales; Euphorbiaceae.